RNAcentral lists this ribosomal RNA (398 nucleotides) under Alternaria tenuissima. RNAcentral describes it as "eukaryotic LSU rRNA". The stretch from base 2 to 155 matches the Rfam family "5.8S ribosomal RNA". Lineage: Eukaryota; Fungi; Ascomycota; Dothideomycetes; Pleosporales; Pleosporaceae. The record is from RNAcentral.
AAACUUUCAACAACGGAUCUCUUGGUUCUGGCAUCGAUGAAGAACGCAGCGAAAUGCGAUACGUAGUGUGAAUUGCAGAAUUCAGUGAAUCAUCGAAUCUUUGAACGCACAUUGCGCCCUUUGGUAUUCCAAAGGGCAUGCCUGUUCGAGCGUCAUUUGUACCCUCAAGCUUUGCUUGGUGUUGGGCGUCUUUUUGUCUCUCCCCUUGUUGGGGGAGACUCGCCUUAAAACGAUUGGCAGCCGACCUACUGGUUUUCGGAGCGCAGCACAAAUUUGCGCCUUCCAAUCCACGGGGCGGCAUCCAGCAAGCCUUUGUUUUCUAUAACAAAUCCACAUUUUGACCUCGGAUCAGGUAGGGAUACCCGCUGAACUUAAGCAUAUCAAUAAGGCGGAGGAAG